GGUGGCAAGCGUUAUCCGGAUUUAUUGGGCGUAAAGGGAGCGUAGACGGUUAAUCAAGUCUGAAGUGAAAGCCCGCGGCUCAACUGCGGAACGGCUUUGGAAACUGAGUAACUGGAGUGCUGGAGGGGCAGGCGGAAUUCCUGGUGUAGCGGUGAAAUGCGUAGAUAUCAGGAGGAACACCGGUGGCGAAGGCGGCCUGCUGGACAGUAACUGACGUUGAGGCUCGAAAGCGUGGGGAGCAAAC
RNAcentral lists this ribosomal RNA (244 nucleotides) under uncultured bacterium. RNAcentral's name for it is "partial 16S ribosomal RNA". It matches the Rfam family "Bacterial small subunit ribosomal RNA", at positions 530 to 773 of the family's 1533-position model. The record is from RNAcentral.